CCUACGGGUGGCAGCAGUGGGGGAUAUUGCACAAUGGGGGGAACCCUGAUGCAGCGACGCCGCGUGUGCGAAGACGGUCCUCUGGAUUGUACACCACUGUCCCCAGGGACGAAAAUGACGGUACCUGGGGAGGAAGCUCCGGCUAACUACGUGCCAGCAGCCGCGGUAAUACGUAGGGAGCGAGCGUUGUCCGGAAUUACUGGGUGUAAAGGGAGCGUAGGCGGGGAUGCAAUUUGGGUGUCAAAACUACCGGCUAAACUGUUAGUGGCACUAAAAACUGUAGCUCUUGAGUGAAGUAGAGGCAGGCGGAAUUCCUAGUGUAGCGGUGAAAUGCGUAGAUAUUAGGAGGAACGCCAGUGGCGAAGGCGGCCUGCUGGGCUUUGACUGACGCUGAGGCUCGAAAGUGUGGGGAGCAAACAGGAUUAGAUACCCCUGUAGUC
RNAcentral lists this ribosomal RNA (440 nucleotides) under uncultured bacterium. RNAcentral's name for it is "partial 16S ribosomal RNA". It matches the Rfam family "Bacterial small subunit ribosomal RNA", at positions 338 to 795 of the family's 1533-position model. The record is from RNAcentral.